Molecule: long non-coding RNA, 1393 nt
Organism: Felis catus (domestic cat)
Lineage: Eukaryota; Metazoa; Chordata; Mammalia; Carnivora; Felidae
Exons: 7
Source: RefSeq, a predicted model, not a curated record
CCCAAAGUGUCCACCUUUUCAGAUCAUGUACCCAUUAGGCUAACUGCCUUAGGAAUCCUCUAGUUCUUGAAAAUAAGAGCUAAGAAGUUUUCAUAUCCCCCUCUUCUCAGAUUUGUGAAAUACAUUUGUCAUAAUGGCUGACUUUUGACACAGAUGACAUCAUUUUACCAUCAUAAUAGAAUUUAGAAUUCUGUCAAUAUAGAAGAGAUGCUAGAAGUUUCAUUAUUUAUAAGAGGCUCCAAAUGGAUAAAACCAAACACAGUAAAACCUUACAAAAGAUCUUAGAAAGUAUUGACACAAUGACAUUUUUGGCAAUUUCUUUAUGAUGAUACCUUGUAGAAAUAGAUCUAGCCAUGAGUACCAAGAAAGUUUUGCUUAGGAAUCGUACGCAUUGAGGUUGGAAGCUAUCAGUACUAAUUCUUUAUAUGUAGCAACCCAAUACUUGCUGUGCUGACCCUACUGUAAAGGCAUCUUUGGCUGCAUUCUUACUCCUCCUCCUAUUCAUUUCUGAGCCAACUGAUCCUGCCAUAAAUGCCACCAGAUAAAGAAUCUAGUCACGGUUUGGCUGGGUCCUGACUUUCAGGAUCUCUCACAAGGCUGAAAUCAAGAUGUUCUGGAGGGCUAGAUGUCUCCUCUAAAGGAUUGAGCUAAGGUCCACUUCUAAGAUCAUCUUUUUUGUACCUCUGGUCUUCCACAAUUCAGAUCAUCUCACUGAAGGUGCUAUUUUUGUCUUCAAGGAAGGCAUCAGGAGCACUGAUUACUAAGCCAUCAUGUAUUAUGGGCAGAGAACUGAUCUUGCUAAAAGCAACAGGGUGAAGUCAUACAAAGUGCAGCGCACUUACCCUUUCAGAACCACAUAAAGCAUUGGAAAGAUUGCGGUCUGCCUUCCAUACUACUGAAGCUGAUAGACCAAAUAUUUCGUCAUGAUGUAAAAAGAGGAUGUGGUCUGGACACUGCCUACUUACAUAGAAGGACUGCUAAUGUGGGACAGCCAAAUUGAUUUCUAGGUACUCAUCAGUUUUACUGUUCUUGAAGAAGUUUGCCAAGAUCAUUGACGUUCUUGUCUGGAUUCCAAGGCAGGUAUUCAGGAAACUACAAAACUUACAUUUUAAGUAACUAUCACAAAUACAACCACAGGAUGGAGGUAAAAUCUGUUCUACCAUAUAUGCACUAUGCUGGAAAGGGGGAAAAAAAGCAUAAAAAGUAAAAAUAUUUAAUUUAUAUAUUUUAAGAAAAUUAAAAAAUGACCUACCUUGUUGCUAAUCUAUACUUUAAGGUCACUCUCUGCCUUAUAAUAAAUUCUGAUUGCUAGUUCGCCAUUGAUUCAUUAAUAUUAAUGACCAAAACCCAACAUUUCAAAAUCAUUGUCUUCCUCUGACCCUCAGUGUUUUAC